Molecule: transfer RNA, 69 nt
Filed under: Felis catus (domestic cat)
Lineage: Eukaryota; Metazoa; Chordata; Mammalia; Carnivora; Felidae
Rfam family: tRNA
About the family: Transfer RNA (tRNA) molecules are approximately 80 nucleotides in length. Their secondary structure includes four short double-helical elements and three loops (D, anti-codon, and T loops).
Source: Rfam by way of RNAcentral
AUCAGGCUGGCUCAGAAGAGCAUGUGACUUUUGAUCUCGGGGUCGUGAGUUCGAGCCCCAUGUUUGGUA